GUUGGUUUUUCCAAAGGCUCACCAACCACAACCUUACAACGUUGGUUUUUCCCUUUGGCUCACCAACAAACCUUAACCCCUUGAUUCAAUCCCUUGAUUGAAUCAAGUUACAAGAUAUUAGAACAAGAGUUUAAAUCAAAUACAAGCUUCUCACAUAAGCAAAUAUAGCAAAUAUAAAUAAGUAAAGUAAAGAGAAGAAGCCCUCAAACAAAUUUGUAGGUAGAGGAACUCGGCUUCUUCUUUACUUGACCCUCUUCUGAUUUUGCACGAAGUAGAGGAUCACCGAGGCAGCACACGGAUGGAGAGGAAGCUUUGGGAUUCACUUGGAUACUCUUCUUCUCUCUAUUUUACUUUGAAUGGCCCUUUUGUGCUUAUGGGAGAUUUUUCUUGUAAUCUCUUUGAAAUCUCUUCCCUAAAUGUUCUCUCCCACUUCCAUCCCAUCUUCCCUAGCU
RNAcentral lists this long non-coding RNA (452 nucleotides) under Phoenix dactylifera (date palm). RNAcentral's name for it is "long non-coding RNA (PDAC_LNC012772)". The record is from RNAcentral. Lineage: Eukaryota; Viridiplantae; Streptophyta; Magnoliopsida; Arecales; Arecaceae.